Molecule: ribosomal RNA, 568 nt
Filed under: uncultured Arthrobacter sp.
Lineage: Bacteria; Bacillati; Actinomycetota; Actinomycetes; Micrococcales; Micrococcaceae
Description: bacterial SSU rRNA
Rfam family: Bacterial small subunit ribosomal RNA
Source: RNAcentral
CCUACGGGAGGCAGCAGUGGGGAAUAUUGCACAAUGGGCGCAAGCCUGAUGCAGCGACGCCGCGUGAGGGAUGACGGCCUUCGGGUUGUAAACCUCUUUCAGUAGGGAAGAAGCGUGAGUGACGGUACCUGCAGAAGAAGCGCCGGCUAACUACGUGCCAGCAGCCGCGGUAAUACGUAGGGCGCAAGCGUUAUCCGGAAUUAUUGGGCGUAAAGAGCUCGUAGGCGGUUUGUCGCGUCUGCCGUGAAAAUCCGGGGCUCAACUCCGGAUCUGCGGUGGGUACGGGCAGACUAGAGUGAUGUAGGGGAGACUGGAAUUCCUGGUGUAGCGGUGAAAUGCGCAGAUAUCAGGAGGAACACCGAUGGCGAAGGCAGGUCUCUGGGCAUUAACUGACGCUGAGGAGCGAAAGCAUGGGGAGCGAACAGGAUUAGAUACCCUGGUAGUCCAUGCCGUAAACGUUGGGCACUAGGUGUGGGGGACAUUCCACGUUUUCCGCGCCGUAGCUAACGCAUUAAGUGCCCCGCCUGGGGAGUACGGCCGCAAGGCUAAAACUCAAAGGAAUUGACGG